Molecule: long non-coding RNA, 525 nt
Filed under: Gossypium barbadense (sea-island cotton)
Lineage: Eukaryota; Viridiplantae; Streptophyta; Magnoliopsida; Malvales; Malvaceae
Description: long non-coding RNA (GBAR_LNC018528)
Source: RNAcentral
GCGAAAAUCCGGCCUCCAGGUACGUCCCUCCCCUCUACCGUUUACUAUUUCUUUCUUUAAUAAGCAACCAAUAAAUGCAAAACGAAAAAAGAAAGAAGAGAAAAGAACAAACUAUUAUACAAAAAAAGCAACAAAAGAACUCUGAAGUCACCUUCUUUAUAUUUUUUAUUUUUGUAUUUUGAAUGCAUAAGAAAGUUACAGUUAACUCUUGGUCUUUUUAUAGUCUCUAUUUAUAGAAGAAUGAAAAAUAAAAAUAAAAAUGAAAAAUAAAUCGCCCCCGUUCUGUUAUUUUUUGCUUUUUCUCUCUGCUCAUUUUGUGUGUGUAUGUUUGCAGGUACACCACCAUCCUGGAGCCACAGAAGAGCACCCAUGAAGAAAGACGUUGCACGCGCGUGGAUCCAGAUCCCCUGUUGCGGCACUAGCGAGAACCCUCUGAGAUUCUAGGAUAUUCGGUUGCAUUUUGGACCUGGUGAUCUGGGUUUAGCCAAUUGGGUCCAAGUUCAGAUCCGUUUAGGUUCAAUUGAU